Long non-coding RNA from Malaya genurostris, 744 nucleotides. RefSeq lists it as uncharacterized. The record is from RefSeq and is a predicted model, not a curated record. NCBI's taxonomy places the organism in Eukaryota, Metazoa, Arthropoda, Insecta, Diptera, Culicidae. The transcript is spliced from 2 exons.
CCUGUCCGGAAAAUUGAAGGUGUAUGGGUCGCUUAAAAGCCGCUAUUGUAUAAAACUGAACAAAGCAGUCCGAGGAAAUUUUCACCUUUGCCAGUGAAUAAUUCCAUCUACCAAAGCUCAUUCAGUUUCAAUUUUUCGGCCCGUUCGGAAGCUAAAUUUUUUUAUGUGAAUAAUAAAAGUAAGAAAGCAUUUUUAGAAGUGAGUAUUUGAGUUGCAGCCGUAGUGAAUCUGACAAGCGUAUUCAUCAUCAAGUAGCAGUGACGAAACAAACAUAAUGCCGAAGAAAAUACGUUGUUCCCCGUGCUUCCUGCCGUGUGGACCUUGUGGACCCUGCAGACCUUGUGGUCCAUGUGGUCCCUGUGGGCCGUGCUAUGAUCCGUGCUGUCCUCCGGUGUGUGGUCCAUAUGAUGCCUGCUUUGGAACUUGUUCACAGAUUGGUUGUGCUCCUUGUGGACCAUGUGGUCCCUGUGGACCAUGUGGACCAUGUGGCCCUUGUGGAUCAUGUUUGCCGUGCGGACCAUCGGCACCUUUACCACCGUGUGUGCCUUGUGGUCCAUGUUUGCCUUGUGGACCUUGUGGACCAUGCGAUCCCUGUGGACCUUGUGGGCCAUGCGGCCCUUGUGGACCUUGGGGCUCCUGCCGAGAUACUAAUAACGGAUGCUGAAAAGAACUGGGGAGUCCAAAUCGAGAUAGGAUAAAAUUCAAACAACAAUGGUUCUAAAUACAAUGCUUUCAAAAAUAUUA